Molecule: ribosomal RNA, 149 nt
Filed under: Cronobacter sakazakii
Lineage: Bacteria; Pseudomonadati; Pseudomonadota; Gammaproteobacteria; Enterobacterales; Enterobacteriaceae
Description: partial 23S ribosomal RNA
Rfam family: Bacterial large subunit ribosomal RNA (bases 1-133)
Source: RNAcentral
CCCGAGAUGAGUUCUCCCUGAGACUGUAAGUCUCCUGAAGGAACGUUGAAGACGACGACGUUGAUAGGCCGGGUGUGUAAGCGCAGCGAUGCGUUGAGCUAACCGGUACUAAUGAACCGUGAGGCUUAACCUUACAACGCCAAAGAAGU